ACGGGAGGCAGCAGUGAGGAAUAUUGGUCAAUGGACGCAAGUCUGAACCAGCCAUGCCGCGUGCAGGAAGGCGGCUUAUGAGUUGUAAACUGCUUUUGUACGAGGGUAACGCUCUUACGUGUAAGAGCCUGAAAGUAUCGUACGAAUAAGGAUCGGCUAACUCCGUGCCAGCAGCCGCGGUAAUACGGAGGAUCCAAGCGUUAUCCGGAUUUAUUGGGUUUAAAGGGUGCGUAGGCGGUUUGAUAAGUUAGAGGUGAAAUACCGGUGCUUAACACCGGAACUGCCUCUAAUACUGUUGAACUAGAGAGUAGUUGCGGUAGGCGGAAUGUAUGGUGUAGCGGUGAAAUGCUUAGAGAUCAUACAGAACACCGAUUGCGAAGGCAGCUUACCAAACUAUAUCUGACGUUGAGGCACGAAAGCG
RNAcentral lists this ribosomal RNA (421 nucleotides) under uncultured bacterium. Its description in RNAcentral is "bacterial SSU rRNA". It matches the Rfam family "Bacterial small subunit ribosomal RNA", at positions 341 to 761 of the family's 1533-position model. The record is from RNAcentral.